This 349-nucleotide transfer RNA is filed under the name Dactyloptena peterseni (starry flying gurnard). RNAcentral describes it as "tRNA-Arg". The record is from RNAcentral. Lineage: Eukaryota; Metazoa; Chordata; Actinopteri; Syngnathiformes; Dactylopteridae.
AUGAACCUAAUCACAACUAUUAUAAUAAUCAGCGCCCUCCUUACCACAGUACUUGCAUUUGUCUCAUUCUGACUACCCCAAAUAAACCCAGACCCAGAAAAGCUGUCCCCCUACGAAUGCGGAUUUGAUCCCCUAGGAACUGCUCGCCUGCCUUUCUCACUACGAUUUUUUCUUGUUGCCAUCCUAUUUCUACUCUUCGACCUGGAAAUUGCGCUUCUACUGCCCCUACCCUGAGGAGACCAACUCACCUCCCCCGUCACCACCUUCCUAUGAGCCUCCUCCGUUCUUAUCCUCCUCACACUAGGCCUUAUCUACGAAUGACUUCAAGGAGGUCUAGAAUGGGCAGAAU